Molecule: long non-coding RNA, 311 nt
Organism: Schistocerca serialis cubense
Lineage: Eukaryota; Metazoa; Arthropoda; Insecta; Orthoptera; Acrididae
Exons: 3
Source: RefSeq, a predicted model, not a curated record
UGCGACGUACCACCGUAUGAUAAAGUUACAUCUGUCCACACAGAAAAUUGCAUCUCAACAAACCUGUCAUUGGUACCUGAACUACAUUUCAGUCACUCAGUAAAGUGAUAAUUCAAAAUAUCAUUGUCAACAGAUCUGGAGAAAUUGCCAGUCUUUAGACCGUUUUCGUCAGACGACAGACGCAGUUCUGACUGAUUACUGGUUGCUGUACAUAUAUAUCCACAUCAAGGCUGUUGAGAGAGACUCGUGAAGAUUCAAGACAGCUCUUAGAGGAUUUGCAGUUUAAAAGUGAAAUAAUUAUGAAAUAAGUG